UUAUUCUUUGUGUUGUUUUCCGCCAUGUUCCAAGACCUCAAGGACAAACUAAAUGUAUAAAUAUUAACGAAAUAAAAAAAACUGUAUCAGUGCGAUUGCUCAAUCUAAGGGAGGUAGAAGUAUCUUCACCUUCAAUACUAUUCAACAUUACUACAACUGUUAUUAACCUAAAAUGUUUGCUAAGUUGAUUAUCCUCUUCGCUAUUGUUGCCCUAGCUAUGGCUCGGCCGCAGCUAUACUCCGGGUACGGCUAUAAUAAUUACCCGGCUAGCUAUCCAGGAUAUGCUGGCUAUUCCGGCUAUUCCAAUCCGGUAGCUUACUCUGGAGGAUAUGGAGGAUAUUCGGGCUACCCUUACAAUUACGGCUAUGGGUAUUACUGAUUGAAAACAUAAAAUUACUUUUUUGUAAUUCUAAUUCCAAUGUUACCUUUAUGUUAAAUACUGAUAUUACCUUUUUGAUUUCAUUUAUUUUCAUUUUAAGAAUAAAAUAAAUAUGUAUUUAAUGAU
Long non-coding RNA from Vanessa atalanta (red admiral), 505 nucleotides. RefSeq lists it as uncharacterized. The transcript has 2 exons. Lineage: Eukaryota; Metazoa; Arthropoda; Insecta; Lepidoptera; Nymphalidae. The record is from RefSeq and is a predicted model, not a curated record.